Molecule: ribosomal RNA, 315 nt
Filed under: uncultured bacterium
Lineage: Bacteria
Description: bacterial SSU rRNA
Rfam family: Bacterial small subunit ribosomal RNA
Source: RNAcentral
GAUGAACGCUGGCGGCGUGCUUAACACAUGCAAGUCGCGGGGCAGCGAGGGGAUUGGCAACAAUCCCUGUCGGCGACCGGCGCAAGGGUGCGUAACGCGUGAGCAACAUGCCCGUCUCAGGGGGAUAACCGGUGGAAACGCCGCCUAAUACCCCAUGGCGAUAUAUUGAGGCAUCUUGAUAUAUCUAAAGCUCCGGCGGAGACGGAUUGGCUCGCGUGACAUUAGCUGGACGGCGGGGUAACGGCCCACCGUGGCAACGAUGUCUAGGGGUUCUGAGAGGAAGGUCCCCCACACUGGAACUGAGACACGGUCCAG